AUGUAAAUUUCUUGGGAUCCUGUGAAAAUGCAAAUUUUAAAUCAGUGGGUCUGCACGGAUCUUAGAGUCUGAAUUUCUAACCAGCUCUCAGAUGAUGCUGAA
Molecule: microRNA precursor, 102 nt
Filed under: Marmota monax (woodchuck)
Lineage: Eukaryota; Metazoa; Chordata; Mammalia; Rodentia; Sciuridae
Source: RNAcentral